Molecule: ribosomal RNA, 253 nt
Filed under: uncultured bacterium
Lineage: Bacteria
Description: partial 16S ribosomal RNA
Rfam family: Bacterial small subunit ribosomal RNA
Source: RNAcentral
UACGAAGGGGGCUAGCGUUACUCGGAUUGACUGGGCGUAAAGGGCGCGUAGGCGGCUUGUCCAGUCAGACGUGAAAUUCCUGGGCUCAACCUGGGGGCUGCGUUUGAUACGUGCGGGCUUGAGUUCGGAAGAGGGUCGUGGAAUUCCCAGUGUAGAGGUGAAAUUCGUAGAUAUUGGGAAGAACACCGGUGGCGAAGGCGGCGACCUGGGCCGAUACUGACGCUGAGGCGCGAAAGCGUGGGGAGCAAACAGG